AGCCACUGUAGCGGUGCCCUCAGCACACUCACUAUGUGGCUGCUCCUGUUUCUUUUAUUUAUUAUUUUUUUUAAACAUCCAAAAUGCAGCGUAUUGAAAGAUUUGAAAAUCAAUUUCCUUUUCAAUCGUAUUCAAAAUCAUACCGCGAAGCCAAGCUGUAAAAUCCCUUGACCACAACCCGCGCCACCAACGUCGUACCCAGCACCACCCAACGACGCCGUCUGUCUCUUUCUUUGCCGCCACCAAACGCUACUUCUUCGUUUGCCCAAUGUUGCAGCUCCCUGCAAUUGUGCCAUCAGAGCAAAUUUGGGAUGGUAGCAAGCGAGGACACUGCUCUAGUGCUUUGUUUAGCUGUCGCCCCUGCUCUCACGUGGAAACCAUUCGAGAUGUCAUCUUAUAUGCCCUAUUCUCUGCCAAGUAAUCUAGAGGAGCUGAGGCAAGAAUCGCCCUUAGCAUCGACUGUGCCAACUAGUGAAGAAUUUGAACAAAAUCUGGGAAGUCCAUUUAGGAUGACUGAUGACAAUUUUCAUGACAUCAAUGAUAUUAUAGUUUUGUUUGCGUGCAUUUUUCGCUAACUUUGUUUGCCUGCUAAUCUAUCCAUAUGUUUCCAUUCGUAGAAAUGCUCUUCGAUAUAAAUGAAGAUUUAGAGGAGACAUCCACUCUUGUCUCUGAUGAUGACGUACAAGUUGAAGCACCAAGAUCUAAAAUGGAAUUUGACAGUGCAAAAGAACUUAUGGCCUACUAUAAGUAAUAUGUCAAGUAAGACGGUUUUGGUGUAAGGACAUUCAGGGCAGGGAGAUGAUGAUGGGAGACCUAUAAAUGUGACCAUUGAUUGUUCCCGUGGCGGAAAGUACCAACCUAAAGGUAGUAAUAUCUCGAAGCCAAGGCUAACAACUAAAAUGGAUUGUAAUGCGAAAAUAAAUGCGACAUUGAACAAGAAUGAGAAAUGGUUGGUAACCACUAUUGAAAAUGUGCAUAACCACAUAAUUGUCAGCCUCAAGAAGACAAGACUUUUACGAUCUCACAAGUAUCUAUAUGAAUACAGUUAAAGGAUCCUUGAGCUCAAUGAUAGAGUUGGUAUACGAAUGAAUAAAAAUUAUUAUUCUCUUGUCGUUGAUUCGGGAGGUUUCGAUAAUCUUCAAUUUCAAGAAAAAGAUUAUCGGAAUUACAUUGACAAUGCUAGACAUAUGAGAUUGGGUAAAAGAGGUGGCGAUGCACUUAAUGAGUAUUUCAAAAGAAUGCAAGAUCAGAAUGAUGGCUUCGUUUCUAGCAUGGACGUGGAUGAUGAGGGAAGGUUAUAGAAUGUGUUUUGGGCUGAUGCUCGGAGUCGAGCCGCCUAUGAAUAUUUUGGAGAUAUUGUAACCUUCGAUGCAACAUACCUAACUAAUAGGUAUGGGAUGUCUUUUGCUCCAUUCAUUGGCAUUAACCAUCAUGGGCAGUCCAUACUAUUAGGGGUGGGAUUGCUUUCAAGUGAGGAAACACAUACUUUUAUAUGGUUGUUCUGAAUGUGGCUAGAUUGCAUGAAUGAUCGGGUGCAAAAAGCUAUCAUAACCGACCAAGAUCGGGCAAUGAAGAGUGCUAUUAUCAUUGUAUUCCCCGAAACUCGUCAUAGGUAUUGUUUAUGGCAUAUAAUGCGCAAACUUUUAGAGAAGUUAGGAUCUCAUGCCAAAUUCAAUGCGGGGUUGAAGAUUGACAUUCAGAUUGCAUUAUAUGACUCACAGACCAUUAGAGAAUUUGAGGGGAGCUGGGUCAACUACUUGCGAAGUAUGAUUUGGUCGGCAAUAAAUGGCUAAAAACUUGUACGAGGAAAGGUCUUUUUGGAUUCCACCUUACUUGAAGAGUGUAUUUUGGGCUGGUAUGAACACGACCCAAAGAUCUGAAAGCAUAAAUGUAUUUUUCGGCGAGUAUGUCCAUUCUAGAACGACAUUGAAGGAAUUUGUCGACCAAUUUGAUAAUGCUUUUAGAAAAAAGGUCGAGGCAGAGACAAUUGCAGAUUUCAAUUCUAACAACCAAACUAUUCCUUGCGUGUCCCAUUUCAACAUUGAGAAGCAGUUUCAAAACUUAUAUACAAAUACGAAGUUCAAAGAGGUCCAAGUAGAGUUGUUGGGCCUAAUGUGUUCUAAUUGUUGUAUUGUAGAAACAUAAGGGUGCAUUUUAAAAUAUGAUGUCUUGGAUGAAAUAUCUAUUGAUGAUCACAUUAAAACAAUUCAAUACUCAAUUUACUAUAACGAGGAGGAGGUGGAGGUAAAAUGCACGUAUGCACUGUUUGAGACGGGGAGGAUUCUAUGUAGGCAUGCACUUAGAGUUUGUUAGUUGAGAAAGGUUAAUGUGCUGCCAGAUCGUUACAUCUUAGAUCGCUGGAGAAAUGAUGUAAAGAGAAGAUACACAUUACACAGAAGUAGUUACAAUGAACAGUGGGAUAGAUCUGACGCAAGAAAUUAUGAGCUUGUGAUUAAAAGAUGUUCAUAAUUAGUAACCAAAAUAUCCUCAUAUAAUGAAAAAGUUAGUACAUUCUUGCGUGUUGUUAAUGAGUUUGAUGCAAAAUGAGAAGGUUCAACUCCACCAAAGUCAACUUCCGAACAAACGAAGGGAAAAUCAAAUGUGGUCUUGGAGAAGGGUAAGAAGAUAUUAAGUCCCAACGUGGUCCGAGGGAAAGGGAGACCCCCAAGUAAGAGAAAGGUUCCACCCGUGGAAAAGAUGACAACAAAGAGGAAGAAAUUGGUAAUAAGUAUCUAAAUUUGUACUGUUAACACUUAGUAUUACAAUUCUAAUAUAUGCCUAUUUUUGUUACUGCAUUUAGACUUGCAAGAAAAUCUUGGUAGAUGAGCCACAAUUUGGUGACACCCUGGGAUCUCAAUAAAGUCAAUUUGAUGAUGGAGUUGGUUUUGGAACACAAAGUAGCAUUCUUACACAAUCAACUCCACCAGGAAAUGAAGUUAACUGUGUAUUUUCAAUAAGUGAUGACCAAAGAGGACUGUCAUUUUUCAUAAUCUUAAACAGUUUGUCAAACACUUGAUUUAUUUAUGAUUUUGUAAUCUUCUGUGGGGGUAAGCAGAUAUUAGAACCUGACUUUUGACUGAGAUGGCUUUAGCUAUGGAAUUUGUUACUGCAGCAGCAUAUAUAUAGGUAUUGCUGAUUUGGGUUGGUAUGAUUUAUUUUUUGUUGGCUUGCUUUUAAAGCUAGAGGGGAAGGCACCAGUAGCAAACAAUGUUAAUACUUUUUAACAGUGUCAAAUAUUCAGGAAUAUUGACAAUCCCACAAUACUUUUUAAUCUGCUCAGUGGUUUUAUGACAUGUUGCAGGCAAGAUAAGCUUUGAGGGCAUUGAAAGCAGUGGUGAGGCUUCAAGCUAGGAUUUAUUUUUGGUUGGCUUACACUGAGUUGCAUGCAAUGGUUGUUUGAGUUCAAGCUCGUGUAAGGGCACGGUGUGUGAGGGUGCCCCCAGCUCUUCUUUGAGUUCAAGCUUGCUGAUCCUGUGAAGCAAGCUGAGCAAGGAUGGAUCCAUAGUCCAGGAACCAUUGAUAAAGUUAGAGCAAAGCUGCAAAUGAGGCAAGACGGUGCUGUGAAGAGGGGGUGAGCAAUUGCAUAUGCGCGCUCUCAACAGCAAUCAAGAUUGACUGCUACUACAAAUUCAAUAAGUAGCAAACCAGUGACUUACACUCAAGCAUCAUAGAUUUGAUAAGAACAACUCGGGAUGGUGCUGGAUCUGGGAAAGCAUAUUGAUGGAAGAAAAUCAUCCCGUGGGGUUUUGAAGCAAACCAGUGACUUUUCUCAAGCAUCUACGUGGGGUUUUGAAGGCCUAAUGCAGCGUCUUUCCUGUUGCUUUUUGGGUAAUUCAAUAGUUUUGAGGAAUUGUAAAUAUUAAAUGGUUUUGGAAUUUGCUACUGAUCAUUCUAUGUGAACCAGAUAAAUAUAUAGUAUAUUACGAA
This is a long non-coding RNA of Carya illinoinensis, 3927 nucleotides long. RefSeq lists it as uncharacterized. The record is from RefSeq and is a predicted model, not a curated record. NCBI's taxonomy places the organism in Eukaryota, Viridiplantae, Streptophyta, Magnoliopsida, Fagales, Juglandaceae. The transcript is spliced from 4 exons.